UUUAAUUCGAAGCAACGCGAAGAACCUUACCAGGUCUUGACAUCCCACUGCCCGCUAUGGAGACAUAGCCUUCCCUUCGGGGACAGUGGUGACAGGUGGUGCAUGGUUGUCGUCAGCUCGUGUCGUGAGAUGUUGGGUUAAGUCCCGCAACGAGCGCAACCCUUGAUCUUAGUUGCCAGCAUUGAGUUGGGCACUCUAAGGUGACUGCCGGUGACAAACCGGAGGAAGGUGGGGAUGACGUCAAAUCAUCAUGCCCCUUAUGACCUGGGCUACACACGUGCUACAAUGGAUGGUACAAAGGGCAGCGAAACCGCGAGGUGGAGCGAAUCCCAUAAAACCAUUCUCAGUUCGGAUUGCAGGCUGCAACUCGCCUGCAUGAAGCCGGAAUCGCUAGUAAUCGUGGAUCAGCAUGCCA
RNAcentral lists this ribosomal RNA (415 nucleotides) under uncultured bacterium. Its description in RNAcentral is "bacterial SSU rRNA". It matches the Rfam family "Bacterial small subunit ribosomal RNA", at positions 945 to 1359 of the family's 1533-position model. The record is from RNAcentral.